Molecule: small RNA, 244 nt
Filed under: Anaerobium acetethylicum
Lineage: Bacteria; Bacillati; Bacillota; Clostridia; Lachnospirales; Lachnospiraceae
Description: Clostridiales-3 RNA
Rfam family: Clostridiales-3 RNA
Source: Rfam by way of RNAcentral
ACGAGAGUCGAUGAAUCGAGAGAUGAAGAUGAAGCGAGCUAUGGAGCGAUCUAAUAUGGCGGAAGGAUAAUAACCCACAAAGGGACUAUAGAAGUUCCUUAUCCUCGAAAUUGGCAUCAGAGGAGAUCGUAUCUAGCAAUAGAUGUGUCGUGAACACGAAAGUGUCAUGCGGCGGACAAAGAGCGCCAGUAACUCCCCUGUGUACGGGGCGAUAUAGGAGAUUGAAUAAUCACGUACACUUACA